GGAGAAGUCGCCUAGUUUGGUCGAGGGCGCGCGACUGGAAAUCGCGUAGGCGCCACAAGCGUCUCGAGGGUUCGAAUCCCUCCUUCUCCGCCA
This 93-nucleotide transfer RNA is filed under the name Peptococcaceae bacterium. RNAcentral describes it as "tRNA-Ser". It matches the Rfam family "tRNA". Rfam says of the family: Transfer RNA (tRNA) molecules are approximately 80 nucleotides in length. Their secondary structure includes four short double-helical elements and three loops (D, anti-codon, and T loops). The record is from RNAcentral. Lineage: Bacteria; Bacillati; Bacillota; Clostridia; Eubacteriales; Peptococcaceae.